UACAAAAGACUCUUGAAGAAUGCCCCAACGGUGAUGUAAUUAUCUUAGCGGGAGAUCUAAAUGCCAGCCUAGGACAGGCAUACCCCGCGGAACAACAACACAUAGGUCGUUUCAUAAAAACAUCGAAACGAAACGACAAUGGAGAACGCCUCGCUAUGUUUGCAGCUACGAACGACCUGGCAAUUGCAAACACGAUGUACCAGAAGAAGAACCACCAGCUAUAUACCUGGAUAUCACGCGACAGACGAACCCGGAACCAGAUAGACUUCAUCCUGAUCAAGAGGAGAUGGCGCACAGCGAUCAACGAUAUCAGAGCAAGAAGUGACAAGAUUUGGAUCGACAGCGACCAUAGAAUGGUGAAAUGCAAUCUGAAGACGAAACUUCGUACAUAUGUCAAAACCCAUAGAACAGUUAGACUCAACCUCGAUGCGCUCCAACAUACAGGUACUUCCAGGAAAUACUGUACGGCCCUUUGUUCAGUAACCGAAUCUACCAGCAACGUGAACCAGAAAUGGGAAAUCCUAAGAGACAGUAUGAUAUCAUCGGCGAAAAAGAAUCUGGGAAUCUCGUGCACCGUAAGGAAACCUUGGAUAUCUGAUGAAACCCUCAAAGCCAUCAGAACACGUGAAAACCUCAAGGCUAAGGGCGCUGAACUCUCGAAAAUAGCUGCGCAACGAAAGCUGGUGAAAAAACUCAUCCGAAAAGACAAGAACUGCUACCUCGACAUGAAAUCGGAUCAAAUUGAGGACGCCAAUGAAAGAGGACACACUAGAGAGAUGUACCGCCUCAUUCGGACUUUGAGUGGUGCCAAAUCGAGUAGUUCACAAACAGUCAAAGGUCUCGAUGGCCAACAAAUCAGCGAUAGCAAGGAAGUCAUGCAACGAUGGGCAACUCACUUCUGCCAACUUCUGAAUGCUGACAACAGCCCGGCCCAACUGCCCAAGGUCGUCUCGAGUACUGGAGUCUUUACGGAUAUAGAUCAGGGAGAGCCGCUAAGAAGUGAGAUUGAGGUUGCACUAGCAAGCCUCCAUAACCACAGAGCUGGCGGGUGCGACCACAUCCCACCAGAACUGUUCAAAAAAGGAGGUGAGAGAAUAGUACUUCUUCUGAAAGACCUCUUCAAAAAUAUAUGGAGAGAAGAGGCAGUCCCAGAUGAAUGGCGAACGUCAAUACUCCUGCCGUUUCAUAAAAAAGGUGACAAACUAGUGUGCAGCAACUAUAGAGGAAUAUCUCUGCUCUGCAUUGGUUUAAAAAUCCUGGAAGCUAUACUACUCGCACGUUUUGACGACCUCUACGACUCAAACGCGAGAGAUAAUCAAGCCGGCUUUAAGAAGGGAAGAGGUUGUAGAGAUCAAGUUUUCGCCCUACGACAGAUAAUCGAGCAGCGAAGUGAGUACAAUAGACCCACAGUGAUGGUCUUCAUAGAUUUCAAAGCUGCCUUUGACAGCGUCAAGAGAGAUGCCAUAUGGAAGAUCCUGGAAGAUCACGGAAUGCCAGACAAGCUGCUUAGGAUUCUCAGGAACAUGUAUUCACAGUCCAACAGCAUCGUGCGAAGAAACGACAACCUAUCAGAGGCGUUCCACGUGUAAACAGGAGUCCGCCAGGGUGGCGUCCUGUCACCCUUCCUGCUCAACAUCCUCAUUGAUCGGAUCCUGAACGUCGCCACAGAUAACACGAAUCUAGGUAUCCGGCUAGAAACCAGUAUUACUGACCUGGACUAUGCAGAUGACAUUUGCCUGCUAGAGGACAAUCCAGAUGACGCCCAGAACUUACUGAAUCGAGUAGUUGACGCCGCAAAAUUGGUAGGACUCCAACUGAACGAGUCCAAGACUAAGUGCAUGUUCUCCUGUUGCGAGCCAACGGUGCUAUUUUGUAAUGGUGUUAAGCUAGAAAACGUCACUGAGUUCGACUACCUAGGAAGCCGCAUCACCUGUAACGGAGACAUUACCCCAGAAGUUCAGCACAGAAUAGCCAGCGCGACUAGAAAUGCUGCGCAGCUGAAGAAAUUCUGGAGUAACAGAAACAUAACCACCAGGACCAAAAGCAAAGUGUACAAAGCAUGCGUAAGAAGUGCUCUCCUAUACGGCGCAGAAACAUGGCCGGUUAAGAAAGGGGACCUGGCCAGGUUGUCCUCAUUCGAAACUAGGUGUGCAUGGCGAUUUGUCUACAAUGGAUUCGAAAUAGCUACCCAGGAACUGCUUCGCAAAGCACAACUUGACUCACCUAUGGACUAUGUGCUGAGGCGUAUGCGACUGAAGUGGUGUGGACAUGUGUUCAGAAUGCCGGAUGAGAGAGUGACGAAGGAGGCACUGUUCUUCGAGAAGGCGCCCACUUGGAAAAGACCAAGAGGUGGGGUCAGAAGAACAUGGAGAUCAACAGUCGCUGCUGACCUCGAACGUGUUCUGAAACCACCGAACAUGAGGGCAGACAAGUGGAGAUUGUGCUGGAAAGAUGCCUGCAUGGAGGCAGCCCUGGACAGAAAGCGAUGGCGUGCGAUAGUUCGGGACUCAAUAUGUGGCUGACAAUGGGCAGUAGUGCCUUAGUCAUGAUGAUGAUGAUGAUGAUGAAGGAUUUCGAACGAGGUACGCGGGGGCUUCACAUUUGAUCCCAGUGUGACUGGAAUCUUGGGUGGAAUCUUCAUUUCCAUCUUGAUUCUACUGGCUGUCGGGAUCUGCAGCAGAAACAGACUCCCCUGUGAAAAGAAUGAAUAUGCAGUGUAAAAUGACACACCGAAUCAAAUACAAACAACUUGAUUCAGGUCAUUGAAACGAUACGCAAAAUGGUACACUGCUCCACAGCUGGCCACGAAACUAGAAUGCAACCAGUACCCCGAACCUCCAUCCAUGAGCAAACGAAAUAACUUCAUCAAGGCCGAAAAUUUCUAGAACGACUGGCGUCAAGUUUUGAGAGAAGUUGAGAACACGACAGGAAAAUUUAGAGACUCGAGAGAAAUAGAAACUGGAAUUCAUACUGGAUCACUUACGAAACUUGAAAAACAAAUAAACUUCAUAAUAGCUAAC
Molecule: RNA transcript, 3020 nt
Organism: Symsagittifera roscoffensis
Lineage: Eukaryota; Metazoa; Xenacoelomorpha; Acoela; Convolutidae
Exons: 2
Source: RefSeq, a predicted model, not a curated record